UCCCAGAUCGAUUGGAUUUCAGAAAUUACUCAACACAGGUGCCACCUCGUCCAGCCAAGCCCAGGAGAUCAACCUGCUCAGCAGCUGCAAGAGCGGGAUGUUCAUGUGCCUGCUGCCAUCUCCCCAAAGCCAUUAUCCCACUCCUGCUGACAAGAUGGGCAAGAUGAGCAUCUACCUCACAAGAUCUGCUGCCCCAAGAAGAGCGUGUCCCAAAGGAUGUCCUCAGCCUUCUCAGAGGGGACGUCAGAUCCUCUCCAGGGAUGGUCCCAGCCCUUCCCAAUCCGCACUGGGCACCAGCUCCAACUCUUCCCUUGAAAACAAACAACAAAUUCAUGACAAGAGAUUACAAACCAGAAGUGGAAACAAGAAAAAAAGGUAAAAUGUUAACCUUCUGUCAGGGUUCUGAGGAAGGCCCAAGCCCUCCAGGCCAAAGAAAAACCCCACCUCCUCCAGCUCAGGAAAACCCAGGCCUUCUCCCUGCCCUGCUGCACUGGCCCAAAGAAAGGCUCCUAAGCCAAGGCAGCCCAAGCCUUUCCUGGCCUGCAGCCCAAAGCAGCUGGUGUUCUGCAGCCCCGCCUUUGCUCCCCCCACGGGGGUUUGUUUUUGGCAGGCUGGCUGCCCCUGCCCCAGCCCCGCCCAGCAAAGGGGCAGUGGCAGAGGCUGGUGGCAGAGCCGGGCUCCCAUUUCACACCCAGCCCAGAGCACCCGCCCGCCCUCCUGCCAAGAAGCAGCUUGGCAGCCGGCUGAAGAAUUCCUCAGGUUCCCCAGCAGCAAAGGGGGACCCUUCGGUGCCCAGCCAGGCUGAGCAAUGCCCGCGGCCGGGAGCACCCCCGGGUGUGGACUCAUCUGCAAACGGCCUGUGGAGCACGGCUUGGAGGAAGGGGCCACAAUCAAAGUCCAUCAUCUUCAGCUCGCCGGCGUCCAGGUCAACUAAGAGCUUGUCAUCCCUGACGUUGUCCUCGAUGUCUCCAGCAGCAGCCCCACCCGGCACAGCUUCUCCAGAGGCCCCUUCUCCUUCCCUGGGGGCCAGACCAGGCUGUCAGCGUUCUGCCGAGGGCCCAGCUGUCUGUGAAGCGGGACCAGCAAAACCAGGUUGGAUGGUGGCCACCAGCACUUGGGAGACCGGGUCUGCAGCCCAGCUCCAGCACAAAGAGGGGCGUGUUCCCGUGGGAUGACCCCCCCUCAGUGCUACAGGCUGACAAAAAAGUCUGGUUUUCUUGGCUUCUUCUUGCCAAGGGAUGUGUGGAGGUGUUACUUGCCAGGGCCCUGGAUCAAAG
Molecule: long non-coding RNA, 1277 nt
Filed under: Manacus vitellinus (golden-collared manakin)
Lineage: Eukaryota; Metazoa; Chordata; Aves; Passeriformes; Pipridae
Description: lncRNA (ENSMVIG00005004821.1)
Source: RNAcentral